Molecule: ribosomal RNA, 345 nt
Filed under: uncultured bacterium
Lineage: Bacteria
Description: partial 16S ribosomal RNA
Rfam family: Bacterial small subunit ribosomal RNA
Source: RNAcentral
CCUACGGGAGACAGCAGUGGGGAAUAUUGGGCAAUGGGCGCAAGCCUGACCCAGCAACGCCGCGUGAAGGACGAAGGCCCUCGGGUGGUAAACUUCUUUUGUCAGGGACGAAUAAUGUUACGGUACCGGACGACGAAGCCACGGCUAACUUCGUGCAAGCAGCCCCGGGAUUAAGUAGGUGGCAAGCUUUAUCCGGAUUUACUGGGUGUAAGGGUCGUGGAGGUGGGACUGAAAGUCAGAUGUGAAAUUCCAGGGCCAAAGCCUGGAACUGCAUUUGAAACUGUAGUGCUUGAGUGAGGGGGCGGCAGGAGGAAUGUGGGGUGUAGCGGUGAAAUGCGUAGAUAU